RNAcentral lists this long non-coding RNA (373 nucleotides) under Homo sapiens (human). RNAcentral describes it as "non-protein coding lnc-MED16-1:1". Lineage: Eukaryota; Metazoa; Chordata; Mammalia; Primates; Hominidae. The record is from RNAcentral.
CUCAGCAUGUGUGGGGCGCCUUGUGGAUGCCAGGGGUGUCCAAAGCAAGUGACAGACAGAACACAGUGGGCCCUGGCGGGUGGUUGGGGGCGGCUUUUGUCCGGGUGUCUGCGGCGUUUCCAUGUGGCUCUGCAGAGACCAGAGUGCAGGAGCGCUGGCGAGGGGUGCGGGCCCGCAGUGGGUGGACGGAGAGGAGAUGGGAGCGCUGGCGAGGGGUGCGGGCCCGCAGUGGGUGGACGGAGAGGAGAUGGGAGCGCUGGCGAGGGGUGCGGGCCCGCAGUGGGCGGACGGAGAGGAGAUGGGAGCGCUGGUGAGGGGUGCGGGCCCGCGGCGGGUGGACGGGGAGGACAUGGGAGCGCUGGCGAGGGGUGCA